Molecule: transfer RNA, 74 nt
Filed under: Clostridia bacterium
Lineage: Bacteria; Bacillati; Bacillota; Clostridia
Description: tRNA-Gly
Rfam family: tRNA
About the family: Transfer RNA (tRNA) molecules are approximately 80 nucleotides in length.
Source: RNAcentral
GCGGGUGUAGCUCAGUGGCAGAGCGUCGGCUUCCCAAGCCGAUCAUGUGGGUUCGAUUCCCAUCACCCGCUCCA